This 259-nucleotide ribosomal RNA is filed under the name uncultured bacterium. RNAcentral's name for it is "partial 16S ribosomal RNA". It matches the Rfam family "Bacterial small subunit ribosomal RNA", at positions 534 to 793 of the family's 1533-position model. The record is from RNAcentral.
GCGAGCGUUAAUCGGAAUUACUGGGCGUAAAGCGCAUGCAGGUGGUUUGUUAAGUCAGAUGUGAAAGCCCGGGGCUCAACCUCGGAAUUGCAUUUGAAACUGGCAAACUAGAGUACUGUAGAGGGGGUAGAAUUUCAGGUGUAGCGGUGAAAUGCGUAGAGAUCUGAAGGAAUACCGGUGGCGAAGGCGGCCCCCUGGACAGAUACUGACACUCAGAUGCGAAAGCGUGGGGAGCAAACAGGAUUAGAUACCCUGGUAG